GGCUCAGGAUGAACGCUAGCUACAGGCUUAACACAUGCAAGUCGAGGGGGAAACGAUAUUGGAAGCUUGCUUCCGAUAGGCGUCGACCGGCGCACGGGUGAGUAACGCGUAUCCAACCUGCCCAUCACUUGGGGAUAACCUUGCGAAAGUAAGACUAAUACCCAAUGACGUCUCUAGAAGACAUCUGAAGGAGAUUAAAGAUUUAUCGGUGAUGGAUGGGGAUGCGUCUGAUUAGCUUGUUGGCGGGGUAACGGCCCACCAAGGCGACGAUCAGUAGGGGUUCUGAGAGGAAGGCCCCCCACAUUGGAACUGAGACACGGUCCAAACUCCUACGGGAGGCAGCAGUGAGGAAUAUUGGUCAAUGGACGAGAGUCUGAACCAGCCAAGUAGCGUGCAGGAUGACGGCCCUAUGGGUUGUAAACUGCUUUUAUAAGGGAAUAAAGUGAGUCUCGUGAGACUUUUUGCAUGUACCUUAUGAAUAAGGACCGGCUAAUUCCGUG
This 500-nucleotide ribosomal RNA is filed under the name uncultured bacterium. RNAcentral describes it as "bacterial SSU rRNA". It matches the Rfam family "Bacterial small subunit ribosomal RNA", at positions 21 to 507 of the family's 1533-position model. The record is from RNAcentral.